Stegostoma tigrinum is the source of this 703-nucleotide long non-coding RNA. RefSeq lists it as uncharacterized. Lineage: Eukaryota; Metazoa; Chordata; Chondrichthyes; Orectolobiformes; Stegostomatidae. The record is from RefSeq and is a predicted model, not a curated record. The transcript is spliced from 3 exons.
AAAGUCUCGGUCUGGUUUGGAACAGCCGGCCUUUUUCGGAAGAUGGACCACAUUCCCUUCCGUGCGAUGCGCAGAUUGUUAAACUCCUCGUUGAUCUGAAGAAGCGUUUUCCCCUUCGUUUCAGGAAGGACGUAAAACGUGAAGAGCGAAGCCAAAAAGCAGCUUACGACAAAAAGAAUGAAGGAGAAAGGCCCCAGGACCUCCUGUAAAGAGAGGAGCGAAUUAAUGAGAGAUUUCAUCACCAUGCUAGGUGGCAUCAUCAGUGGAGCCUCAGAUGAGCUCGGAAUUUAUACUGUCCGGUCCGUUACGGACAAUGUACGUUCGUGUCAUGAAGAAGAGAUUGAGGAUUGAUCUUGAGAUAAUGGGAACUGCAGAUGCUGGCGAAUCUGAGAUAACGAAGUGUGAAGCUGGAUGAACACAGCAGGCCAAGCAGCAUCUUAGGAGCUGGAAAGCUGACGUUUCGAUUGAUCUUGUUCGGAUGAAGGAAAUGUUAGAAAGAACAGAGAUUUUCAAAAUAGUAUGAGUAGCCGCAAGGUCAGACUGUUCCGCAAAUAUAAAAGUCUUGUUCAAAGAAAUGAUUGAAGAGGGGUGCCUGGCCGCGUGAGGAGCUAUAAGAAUAGAUGGAAUAAAAGUAUUUUUUGUUCAGGUUGUUUUGUGUUGAAACUUUUUUUUAGUUAAAAGAACGGAGAGGUUGUUACCAUAU